GAAAGCAUCUAAGCAUGAAGCCCCCCUCAAGAUGAGAUUUCCCAUAGCGUAAGCUAGUAAGAUCCCUGAACGAUGAUCAGGUUGAUAGGUUCGAGGUGGAAGCAUGGUGACAUGUGGAGCUGACGAAUACUAAUAGAUCGAGGACUUAACCAU
This 153-nucleotide ribosomal RNA is filed under the name Bacillus cereus. RNAcentral's name for it is "partial 23S ribosomal RNA". It matches the Rfam family "Bacterial large subunit ribosomal RNA", at positions 2773 to 2925 of the family's 2925-position model. The record is from RNAcentral. Lineage: Bacteria; Bacillati; Bacillota; Bacilli; Caryophanales; Bacillaceae.